This 202-nucleotide ribosomal RNA is filed under the name uncultured bacterium. Its description in RNAcentral is "partial 16S ribosomal RNA". It matches the Rfam family "Bacterial small subunit ribosomal RNA", at positions 335 to 527 of the family's 1533-position model. The record is from RNAcentral.
ACUCCUACGGGAGGCAGCAGUCGAGAAUCAUUGUCAAUGCGCGAAAGCGUGAACAUGCGACGCCGCGUGGAGGAUGACGGCCUUCGGGUUGUAAACUCCUGUCAUACAGGGAGCAAUCGUUUCGGUUUUAAUACAACCGGGACUUGAUGGUACCUUAAGAGGAAGCCACGGCUAACUCUGUGCCAGCAGCCGCGGUAAUACG